CUAUCUGCCGUGGGCGUUGGAUGAUUGAAGGGAGUUGCUCCUAGUACGAGAGGACCGGAGUGAACGAACCUCUGGUGUUCGGGUUGUCACGCCAGUGGCACUGCCCGGUAGCUAAGUUCGGAAUCGAUAACCGCUGAAAGCAUCUAAGCGGGAAGCGAGCCCUGAGAUGAGUCAUCCCUGACCCCUUGAGGGUCCUAAAGGGCCGUUGGAGACCACAACGUUGAUAGGCGGGGUGUGUAAGCGCGGCGACGUGUUGAGCUAACCCAUACUAAUUACCCGUGAGGCUUAACCAUACAACACCCAAGAAGUGUUCU
This 314-nucleotide ribosomal RNA is filed under the name Aeromonas veronii. RNAcentral describes it as "partial 23S ribosomal RNA". It matches the Rfam family "Bacterial large subunit ribosomal RNA", at positions 2638 to 2925 of the family's 2925-position model. Lineage: Bacteria; Pseudomonadati; Pseudomonadota; Gammaproteobacteria; Aeromonadales; Aeromonadaceae. The record is from RNAcentral.